RNAcentral lists this microRNA precursor (94 nucleotides) under Canis lupus familiaris (dog). Its description in RNAcentral is "mir-8799 microRNA precursor family". It matches the Rfam family "mir-8799 microRNA precursor family". Lineage: Eukaryota; Metazoa; Chordata; Mammalia; Carnivora; Canidae. The record is from Rfam by way of RNAcentral. RNAcentral also lists the same sequence under 1 other name.
AGGGGAGUGCUGGCUUCUAGGCUGUGUACCCCAGCGCCCUGGGCCCCAGGGCCUGCGUUACUGGAAUCGUGCUCCCGGGGUCCUGCAGCCCCCU